RNAcentral lists this ribozyme (115 nucleotides) under Aedes aegypti (yellow fever mosquito). RNAcentral's name for it is "drz-agam-1 ribozyme". It matches the Rfam family "drz-agam-1 ribozyme". Lineage: Eukaryota; Metazoa; Arthropoda; Insecta; Diptera; Culicidae. The record is from Rfam by way of RNAcentral.
UGCUCAGCAAUUCCUAUCCCUAUCUCUUCGUUGUACUGGUCGGGGAACAAGAACCUUAGGAAAGAUCGGGUAAUCAACCCCGGUGGAAACUUUGGUCGUAUGCUGACAGGGAAGG